GACGUAGGUGGCGAACGUUAUCCGGAAUUAUUGGGCGUAAAGGGUGCGUAGAUGGCCUGGCAAGUUGGCAGUGGGAAAUCGAGGCCCAACCUCGUGGAAGCUGGUAAUACUGCCUGGCUCGAGUACAGGAGAGGUUAACGGAACUCCAUGUGGAGCGGUAAAAUGCGUAGAUAUAUGGAAGAACAUCAAUAACGGCGAAGGCAGUUAACUAGUCUGUUACUGACAUUGAGGCACGAAAGCGUGGGGAGCAAAACGG
Molecule: ribosomal RNA, 256 nt
Filed under: uncultured bacterium
Lineage: Bacteria
Description: partial 16S ribosomal RNA
Rfam family: Bacterial small subunit ribosomal RNA
Source: RNAcentral